This 714-nucleotide non-coding RNA is filed under the name Pongo abelii (Sumatran orangutan). Lineage: Eukaryota; Metazoa; Chordata; Mammalia; Primates; Hominidae. The record is from RNAcentral.
UUUGUAAUAUGGAAGUUGUAAAGCUGUGUUUUAAUAGGAUUACCUUAGGAACAAGAGGACUACUUUUUAAAGAUACAAGAUCCCGCUGCGUUGGCAAUUCUGUUAUCAGAAAGAUAGUGAUUGAUACAAAACAGUAAGAAACUGUAGAAUUGCAGGACCCAUAAUCCUUACAAGGAAGAUUUAGAGAGUGCUGUGUCAAUCACUCAUCAGCACCUCACAGAUAUUAUCUCAAUUCGUCCUGGCAACCAUCACUGCCCCUACUUAGCAGUCUCAGAGAGGAGACUCAACUCACACAGGGGCCAAGAGCUGGACCAUGGAAAUGGGACAAAACAUCCUUUCUGCCAACUGAGGGGGCAGCAGAACACAGUGGUUGAGCAUGGGCUUUGGUGAAGGAUGGCGGGGGUUCAAAUCCCAGUUCUCCCCCACCUCUCUGCUUCGCUCCGGUUCCUGGGCCUCUGAGCUGGUCUCCUCCACUGUGGAGUAACUGUGACUGCUCAUCUGCAGAUUCCUUCUGUGCUGGACACGGUUCCAACUUUCCGACUACUCCCGCAGGAGCUCAUUUAGUGGAGACAACAGGAUCUUGCUUACUGUCAUAGUGAGGAAGAAAUGGAAAUAUCUGUGCAGGGCCCAAGCCCGGCCUGGCGCGGGAGAGGCAUCAAUAAAUGCAGCUUGAGUUCAGAAGCAGCUGGUCUGUGGCUCAGUCAGCCUGGCUUC